AUGGGAAAAUCUGUGUUUGCAGAAUAUUCUAUAAAAGAUUUCAUUAUUACUGACACGUUUGUUUUCUAUGAGUUUCACAGUAAAAGUGUCUUCUUGUUUUGAAAUUCUAUUUUACGUUCGCUAUGGAAAUAAGGCGGAAAAACAAGUUUGGUCUCCGGCCGGCAAACACAGACUGGAUUCUUUAUUAAGUCAAGGUCACACUUCGCAGUUAACGUAUUUGCUUAAUAUCAACUGUAUUUUAGUUAAUAUCUAACGUAUUAUCAUCGUAUGUCAAGAGUGAGAGUGGAGAUAAACCUAGUUUAUUUACUAUGAACAAAAUUAUACUGGAGUUAAAUUUAAUGGACUACAAAAUAAUAACUUGCAUUAUCAACGUUAUACCACCUUGAAGCAUUACGAAUGUUUACAUACUCUACAUGCUGCUUAUAUAAAAUCAACUCAACUUUGUUGCUUUUGGUAAAAUGUUUUGCCAACGUCCACUAACGCCUGGAAACUAUAUGUUAAUUGAUUCUAUGGG
Molecule: long non-coding RNA, 514 nt
Organism: Melitaea cinxia (Glanville fritillary)
Lineage: Eukaryota; Metazoa; Arthropoda; Insecta; Lepidoptera; Nymphalidae
Exons: 2
Source: RefSeq, a predicted model, not a curated record